UGGGGAAUUUUGGACAAUGGGCGAAAGCCUGAUCCAGCAAUGCCGCGUGUGUGAAGAAGGCCUUCGGGUUGUAAAGCACUUUUGUCCGGAAAGAAAUCCUUGGCUCUAAUACAGUCGGGGGAUGACGGUACCGGAAGAAUAAGCACCGGCUAACUACGUGCCAGCAGCCGCGGUAAUACGUAGGGUGCAAGCGUUAAUCGGAAUUACUGGGCGUAAAGCGUGCGCAGGCGGUUUGCUAAGACCGAUGUGAAAUCCCGGGCUCAACCUGGGAACUGCAUUGGUGACUGGCAGGCUAGAGUAUGGCAGAGGGGGGUAGAAUUCCACGUGUAGCAGUGAAAUGCGUAGAGAUGUGGAGGAAUACCGAUGGCGAAGGCAGCCCCCUGGGCCAAUACUGACGCUCAUGCACGAAAGCGUGGGGAGCAAACAGGAUUAGAUACCCUGGUAGUCCACGCCCUAAACGAUGUCAACUAGUUGUUGGGGAUUCAUUUCCUUAGUAACGUAGCUAACGCGUGAAGUUGACCGCCUGGGGAGUACGGUCGCAAGAUUAAAACUUAAUGAAUUGACGGGGUCAUAGCUGUUUCCU
This 583-nucleotide ribosomal RNA is filed under the name uncultured bacterium. Its description in RNAcentral is "partial 16S ribosomal RNA". It matches the Rfam family "Bacterial small subunit ribosomal RNA", at positions 355 to 1375 of the family's 1533-position model. The record is from RNAcentral.